RNAcentral lists this ribosomal RNA (1020 nucleotides) under Salmonella enterica. Its description in RNAcentral is "partial 23S ribosomal RNA". It matches the Rfam family "Bacterial large subunit ribosomal RNA", at positions 711 to 1728 of the family's 2925-position model. The record is from RNAcentral. Lineage: Bacteria; Pseudomonadati; Pseudomonadota; Gammaproteobacteria; Enterobacterales; Enterobacteriaceae.
AGACCCGAAACCCGGUGAUCUAGCCAUGGGCAGGUUGAAGGUUGGGUAACACUAACUGGAGGACCGAACCGACUAAUGUUGAAAAAUUAGCGGAUGACCUGUGGCUGGGGGUGAAAGGCCAAUCAAACCGGGAGAUAGCUGGUUCUCCCCGAAAGCUAUUUAGGUAGCGCCUCGUGAAUUCAUCUCCGGGGGUAGAGCACUGUUUCGGCUAGGGGGCCAUCCCGGCUUACCAACCCGAUGCAAACUGCGAAUACCGGAGAAUGUUAUCACGGGAGACACACGGCGGGUGCUAACGUCCGUCGUGAAGAGGGAAACAACCCAGACCGCCAGCUAAGGUCCCAAAGUCAUGGUUAAGUGGGAAACGAUGUGGGAAGGCCCAGACAGCCAGGAUGUUGGCUUAGAAGCAGCCAUCAUUUAAAGAAAGCGUAAUAGCUCACUGGUCGAGUCGGCCUGCGCGGAAGAUGUAACGGGGCUAAACCAUGCACCGAAGCUGCGGCAGCGACGCUGAUGCGUUGUUGGGUAGGGGAGCGUUCUGUAAGCCUGCGAAGGUGGCCUGUGAGGGUUGCUGGAGGUAUCAGAAGUGCGAAUGCUGACAUAAGUAACGAUAAAGCGGGUGAAAAGCCCGCUCGCCGGAAGACCAAGGGUUCCUGUCCAACGUUAAUCGGGGCAGGGUGAGUCGACCCCUAAGGCGAGGCCGAAAGGCGUAGUCGAUGGGAAACGGGUUAAUAUUCCCGUACUUGGUGUUACUGCGAAGGGGGGACGGAGAAGGCUAUGUUGGCCGGGCGACGGUUGUCCCGGUUUAAGCGUGUAGGUGUGUGUUCCAGGUAAAUCCGGUUCACUUUAACACUGAGGCGUGAUGACGAGGCACUACGGUGCUGAAGCAACAAAUGCCCUGCUUCCAGGAAAAGCCUCUAAGCAUCAGGUAACAUCAAAUCGUACCCCAAACCGACACAGGUGGUCAGGUAGAGAAUACCAAGGCGCUUGAGAGAACUCGGGUGAAGGAACUAGGCAAAAUGGUGC